UGAAAAGUCAGGCACUCAGCUAAAGGACGCACCCGCUCUUGAUGUCAUACUGUGAGGCACAACAUCAUGGAAAUAAAGAGAGCGAAAAGCAUGCAACUGGGAUAGCUUCAUAUAUGAAAUGCAGCACAGAGGAGCCAAAGGCGGAAGCUGAGCUGAGAAGAGACUGUACAAAGCCUCUAGUCAGCUGGAAUCUAUCCGAAACAUUCCACAGGUUUAUCUCCUUCAGCAGGGAGUACAGCACUAAGGCCAGGUACAACCGGUUUACCACCAUAAUGUCCACAGACUGAAAUACAGGACCAGGAUACUCUCACCCAUGGCAUCAAUACCUGCUCGUCCUGCUCUCCCCACCAUCUGUUUGUACUGACUUCUCUUUAAAAAAUCUGCAGCUAUGUACGGGGAACGUAGGAUCACCCUGAGAAUUAGCAAAUGCACAAGAGAGAUAACGAAACCCCUUUUAAAAGUAAAAAAUUAAAAUAAAAAUACAAAAAUAAAUUGUCCGGGUUUAGGCUAUUCUGUUUUGGCAUGUCUAGAAUACUUUUUUGUCUUUUAUAUCAUUGUGAAUAAGGGCAUAUAAGGAGAGAAAUAGCUGAUUUUAGAAAGUGCUUUUACU
Xyrauchen texanus (razorback sucker) is the source of this 610-nucleotide long non-coding RNA. RefSeq lists it as uncharacterized. The transcript is spliced from 3 exons. NCBI's taxonomy places the organism in Eukaryota, Metazoa, Chordata, Actinopteri, Cypriniformes, Catostomidae. The record is from RefSeq and is a predicted model, not a curated record.